CGCUGGCCCAUUAUGACGUUUAGAAGUGCGGGUACUGUGACGUCAGCCUGUAAAAGUGAUCACGUGUGGACAAUUUCAUAGUUUUGACAAGACUAUAACUAAGGAUACGUCUGACAGACAUGGAGGGGAAGUUCAACAAAAAAUCAAUUUCAACUACUGGGCUUGAUGAAGACCCCUGGGAUGAAGGUGGCAGCCCCAGCAAGGAUGGAAGUAGGGCUGCUCCUCAGAUGAAGGAAACCGCAAUGACAGAUGACACAGAUGACACAAAUGACACAGACCAAGACCUUGAGAAGCUAAUGGACGAAAUUGAGAGGACUUAUGGCCAACCUGCCCCGCUGUCCGAACCUGACAGCAAUGACCAUGAGAACAGAAAGCAAGAAUAUCCAAGCAACUGCUCUAGACCAGAAAGCAAGGGCAACAGCACUGAGGCUGACCACAUAGGAGAGGAUGACACUGAAGGACUGGUCAGUGCUGAAGCUUAG
Molecule: long non-coding RNA, 482 nt
Filed under: Lepisosteus oculatus (spotted gar)
Lineage: Eukaryota; Metazoa; Chordata; Actinopteri; Semionotiformes; Lepisosteidae
Description: lncRNA (ENSLOCG00000023032.1)
Source: RNAcentral